UCGAAUCGGGAUCCUCUUAAAAUCUCUAUGUUCAAAAGUUAAAGAUCGAAAAUCUGAACUGUUGAAAAUAGGGAUUCGAACUUUUAAUUUGAGUGAGAUGAAAAAGCCGUAAAAUUUAAAAUAAGUUGUCCGAAUUUCCAAAUCCAACAGCUCCGAACCCGAAAGAUCAGGAGAGAAGCUCGAUUCAACAGAAUGAAGGACCCAAAAGAGGGAGGAGUUGCAUGGUACCCCAUAGGCACAUAGAGAGUGACAGCAGCAAUGGCCUCAGCCUCACACAGAGUCACAGCAAUCUCCUCCUCCUUGGCUCUCAAUUCUUCUCAAUCAUUUCUCAGACCCUCAAGUCUCCCCCUCCAAAUCCCACCUCAAUCCAAGCCCACACAUCGCAAUCCCAUCCUCAAAUUUUCCACCACAAGAACCAGAGCAACCGUUGAUGGCGGCGAACAAAGCGCCACCGCCACAUCUCAGCUUGUCCAGGAACCACCACAGCCCACCAAAGAAGUGGAGGAGAGUGUGAAAUUGCUCAAAAAUUCCGCGAAAACAAGACGGGUUGAGAAGGAGGAGGUUCUGUCCGCUCUAUCCGUCAUUGAGAAGGGAAAGCUCGACCCUUCCGGGUUUCUUAACACGCUUAGAAUCCCCGGGGAGAACAUGGAUGCUCAUAUUUACUGCUGAGAAGGAAUUGAGGGGCGGUCGCUACCUCCCUAUUACCGCAGUUCAGCGAUUUGAUGCUGCUGGAAAGAGAAUUGAGAACGGGGUGUAUUUCGGGCCAUUUGGAUGCUUAACAUUUGAAGGAAGACUUUAAUGGAAGGAGAGAAUACUAGCCUUCGUCUUUUAGUCCAUCCGAAUAAACAUUGGACCUUUGAAAACCCUUGAGAUCGGUCUAGGCCAGAAAGACGACAGAAAGCCUAGCACGAAGGAUCCAUUCUUUAUAUGGUUUUACAUUGAUGAAGAACUAGCAGUUGGCCGAGGCAAACGUGGGGGAACUGCUUUCUGGUGCCGUUGUCGCCGUGUAGUGACUUAAUUUUUGUUUCAGUCAAAUAUAGAUGUUAGAUUCACCUUUAAGGAUCAUAUUAUACAUACACAUAUGUACAUAUAUCGGGAAAUAUCAAGGCUGCGUGAUGCUUUGUUUAUUGGACAGAUUAGAUUCACCUUUUAGGUGUUUCUUCCUUGACAUCAAAGCUCGUUAGCUUCUCUUUUUCGAUAUAUGUAUAGUUAAAUGUACAAACAUUCAUACAUGUACACACACACACACACACACACACACCUGGAGUGCAGUGUGAAUGUUGUUUGUUUACCUUCUCAUCGACAUACUUUGCCCAAUAUCGCGCCAUUGUUUUUUCGAAUGGAUCUUCUGGCAACAGUGGGUUCUCUCUCCAUGUUUCAUCACACAUUUUGAAGUCUGCAAAUUCUGAAAUUGAACCAAGUUUUCAAUCUUUUGAAGCAUUGGUCUGAAGGCGGGAUUUCGAAAAGCAUCACAUUUCUUGCAGAGAAAGUUAAUACAUAGACAAGAGGAAGACUCAUAACAGUAAUCAGAUCCGGAGGUGAAGAGAUUAAGCACGUCCUCAUGGUUUGUUGGCGGAUAUGGAACGAAUGUAAAUGAUGGCAUAUUGGACGUAGGCGACAAACGCUUC
RNA transcript from Pyrus x bretschneideri (Chinese white pear), 1628 nucleotides. RefSeq lists it as uncharacterized. The record is from RefSeq and is a predicted model, not a curated record. NCBI's taxonomy places the organism in Eukaryota, Viridiplantae, Streptophyta, Magnoliopsida, Rosales, Rosaceae. The transcript is spliced from 5 exons.